RNAcentral lists this long non-coding RNA (200 nucleotides) under Ananas comosus (pineapple). Its description in RNAcentral is "long non-coding RNA (ACOM_LNC005700)". The record is from RNAcentral. Lineage: Eukaryota; Viridiplantae; Streptophyta; Magnoliopsida; Poales; Bromeliaceae.
ACUUUAGCCAAAUUGACUAAAGUGCGCGAAAGGAAUAAUUGGACAAGUUUCAAUUAUUGUUCCAACAAUGUUGGAAGAGUUAAAAGUGAGUUUUAGAAGGGUUAGAAGGAUUUUAGUAUUGACCGGUGCGAAAUAGAAUCGAAAACGAUGCAAAUUUAAAGUCUGGGCAAAGUGUACCGGUACAACAUUGAUGUUGUACC